Molecule: ribosomal RNA, 254 nt
Filed under: uncultured bacterium
Lineage: Bacteria
Description: partial 16S ribosomal RNA
Rfam family: Bacterial small subunit ribosomal RNA
Source: RNAcentral
GACGAACCGAGCGAACGUUGUUCGGAAUCACUGGGCUUAAAGGGCGCGUAGGCGGGCGGCCGCGUCCGGGGUGAAAUCCUCCGGCUCAACCGGAGAACGGCCUCGGAUACGGGCGGCCUGGAGGCGGGUAGGGGCAAGCGGAACUGUGGGUGGAGCGGUGAAAUGCGUUGAGAUCCACAGGAACUCCGGUGGCGAAGGCGGCUUGCUGGACCCGAACUGACGCUGAGGCGCGAAAGCCAGGGGAGCGAACGGGG